GCCCUGAUGGUCUAGCGGUAUGAUUCUCCCUUAGGGUCCUCAUGACACUUCUGGGAGAGGUCCCAGGUUCGAAUCCUGGUUAGGGCC
RNAcentral lists this transfer RNA (87 nucleotides) under Colletotrichum phormii. Its description in RNAcentral is "tRNA-Pro". It matches the Rfam family "tRNA". Rfam says of the family: Transfer RNA (tRNA) molecules are approximately 80 nucleotides in length. Their secondary structure includes four short double-helical elements and three loops (D, anti-codon, and T loops). The record is from RNAcentral. Lineage: Eukaryota; Fungi; Ascomycota; Sordariomycetes; Glomerellales; Glomerellaceae.